This 497-nucleotide ribosomal RNA is filed under the name uncultured bacterium. Its description in RNAcentral is "partial 16S ribosomal RNA". It matches the Rfam family "Bacterial small subunit ribosomal RNA", at positions 28 to 507 of the family's 1533-position model. The record is from RNAcentral.
GAUGAACGCUGGCGGCGUGCCUAAUACAUGCAAGUCGAGCGAACAGAUGAGGAGCUUGCUCCUCUGACGUUAGCGGCGGACGGGUGAGUAACACGUGGAUAACCUACCUAUAAGACUGGGAUAACUUCGGGAAACCGGAGCUAAUACCGGAUAAUAUAUUGAACCGCAUGGUUCAAUAGUGAAAGACGGUUUUGCUGUCACUUAUAGAUGGAUCCGCGCCGCAUUAGCUAGUUGGUAAGGUAACGGCUUACCAAGGCAACGAUGCGUAGCCGACCUGAGAGGGUGAUCGGACACACUGGAACUGAGACACGGUCCAGACUCCUACGGGAGGCAGCAGUAGGGAAUCUUCCGCAAAGGGCGAAAGCCUGACGGAGCAACGCCGCGUGAGUGAUGAAGGUCUUCGGAUCGUAAAACUCUGUUAUUAGGGAAGAACAAAUGUGUAAGUAACUAUGCACGUCUUGACGGUACCUAAUCAGAAAGCCACGGCUAACUACGUG